This 839-nucleotide unclassified non-coding RNA is filed under the name Apiotrichum montevideense. The record is from RNAcentral. Lineage: Eukaryota; Fungi; Basidiomycota; Tremellomycetes; Trichosporonales; Trichosporonaceae.
AAUAGAACGGGGUGCUGUAAGCAGUAGAGUAGCCUUGUUGCUACGAUCUGCUGAGGCUUAGCCUUUGUUCUACAGAUUUGUGCUUUUGCACUCUACUAAGUUGGAUAGGUCAGGGGGGUUAUUGAUAGUGCGCACAGGGGGCGAAAAAACGGACAAGUCCUGCAUUAUGAUGCGGGAUAAGGAAGUGUGUGUCGGGAGUCUAUAGUGCGGUAGGUAGAAUGGUAAGUAGUAAAGUAGUUGAGUAGCUUCGUGUAGUAACUUUUGGUAGUAGAGUAGUUCAAUAGCCAAAGUCGUGUAGUGACUUUUGGUAGUCGAGUAGUUCAUAGGUAAAGUCGUGCAGUAGUAACAUGCUGCCUAGACUAGUAAUAUACGGCAUGAUGAAUGCAUGAAUAACGGCAGAGGUGGAGGUUUUAAGGGGCGAGCGAACAUGCGUGCCCAGUCAUUGGUGCCCUUUUAUAAGGCCUUUGACAUUGUAGCCCUUUAGUACUGAAGCACGGUAUUGGCCCAAGUCCCUGAGUCAGUGAAGUCAGUUGGCGCAUCCUGGGGGUCCUAUACUAACAUGUCCUGGGGGUCCUAAUAGAUGCCAUGUUGAGUCCACGCGACUGGGCCAUGCAUAGCACACGCGAUGGUAUGGGAGGUACUCUUGGGGGUGCUCCUAGGGGUGCUCCGGGGGGUACUCCUGCAAGAACGGAAGCAUAGUAGAGGCCAGGUGGUGGGUCCCGAGGGGGUCUGGGCUUGGCCGGGUGGUAAGUAAGGCAGUUGUCAGGAGGUGUAUAAAGGGGCCCUAAAAACCUAUAAAGUAUCUUCGGCCAUAGGAUCCAGAAAAUACCGCAUCCCGU